ACGAACGCUGGCGGCGCGCCUAACACAUGCAAGUCGAACGAGAGAGAGGGAGCUUGCUUCCUUGAUCGAGUGGCGAACGGGUGAGUAACGCGUGAGGAACCUGCCUCAAAGAGGGGGACAACAGUUGGAAACGACUGCUAAUACCGCAUAAGACACGACCCGGCAUCGGGAAGAGGGAAAAGGAGCAAUCCGCUUUGAGAUGGCCUCGCGUCCGAUUAGCUAGUUGGUGAGGUAACGGCCCACCAAGGCGACGAUCGGUAGCCGGACUGAGAGGUGGAACGGCCACAUUGGGACUGAGACACGGCCCAGACUACUACGGGAGGCAGCAGUGGGGAAUAUUGCACAAUGGGGGAAACCCUGAUGCAGCGACGCCGCGUGGAGGAAGAAGGUCUUCGGAUUGUAAACUCCUGUUGUUGAGGAAGAUAAUGACGGUACUCAACAAGGAAGUGACGGCUAACUACGUGCCAGCCGCCGCAGUAA
Molecule: ribosomal RNA, 480 nt
Filed under: uncultured bacterium
Lineage: Bacteria
Description: partial 16S ribosomal RNA
Rfam family: Bacterial small subunit ribosomal RNA
Source: RNAcentral